UACGUAGGGUGCGAGCGUUGUCCGGAAUUAUUGGGCGUAAAGGGCUCGUAGGCGGUUUGUCGCGUCGGGAGUGAAAACCCAGGGCUUAACCCUGGGCUGGCUUCCGAUACGGGCAGACUAGAGGUAUGCAGGGGAGAACAGAAUUCCUGGUGUAGCGGUGAAAUGCGCAGAUAUCAGGAGGAACACCAAUGGCGAAGGCAGCACUCUGGGACGUGACUGACGCUGAGACGCGAAAGCGUGGGGAGCAAACAGG
RNAcentral lists this ribosomal RNA (253 nucleotides) under uncultured bacterium. RNAcentral's name for it is "partial 16S ribosomal RNA". It matches the Rfam family "Bacterial small subunit ribosomal RNA", at positions 524 to 776 of the family's 1533-position model. The record is from RNAcentral.